UCGUACCUUUCAGGUUUGAGCCAGUGAGAACAAGGGCUAAAAGAGAGGUCAUGUUCGCUAACCGAACAGGAAUUUGGGAUGUAAAAGAGUUGAAAUCCAUUGCCAACACAUACAUUUGAGUGAGGUUGAGAAGCUGAUUUACAGGAACUUUCCCCAUAAUUUUGCAAUUGGAUAACCAAAGCGAUCUAAGAUUGAAAAGAUCUGAUAAAGGAUUAGCCCAUUGAGGGAACUUGGAAGCCUCUGAUAGAUCAACGCCGCUCAAAAAUAGUCCCCUUAGAUUGCGCAGACCCUUCAACCAAUCCAAAUUGGAAGAAGAAAGAUAGCCACCAGGGAUGUAUGUAUAUUCAACACCAGCUCGCACUGUCAGUUGAGAAGAUAAAUUAUAUGAAAUGGAUGAAAAAUCUGGCACUUGCAAAGAACACGAAAGAUCCAACCAUCUUAGAGAUGUAAGGUUGGCAAGUUGUGUUGUGAUGGAAUCACUGAACAUAGAAUUUGAUAGGUUUAGAUAAGUAAGGUGAGUAAGGUUUGCUAUUCUAGUAGGUAUUCUUGAAAACUGGAAGUUGUUGAAGCUAAGAUCAAGGUGACGGAUGUGAGCAAGAGUGAAAAGAGAAGAAGAGAUGGAGCCAAUGAGGGCAGACGAUGUGGAGUUGGAACUGGAAACCAGUUCAGAAGUCAUAUUAACUAUGAAGCUUGUCGGAUUGGGGUUCCGGAGGUCAACAGAGACAACAUGGAGCAUGUUGGAGCAACGAAUCCCAUGCCAAGUGCAGCAGUUUCGGCCGUUCCAUGAGGACAACCGAUUUGAUGGGUCUGCAAGUUGGGAUUUGAAACUUAACAAGGCUGCUCUUUCAUUGUCAAGACAGCAGGUGAUAGCUGAAAUAUUUGAGACAAAGCAAAUGAAGAGAGCUAGCCAAUUCUGGAGUUUCAUGGCAAUAAGAUAUUGUGGAUUCUACCUCUUGCUGAAUUCUACAGAAGUUAUGGAAACACUAGUUUGUGCUGGUGAGUUAUAGGUGAGGCUCUGCUGCCCGAGUGGCGAUGUUUCAAGUUUGUGAUAUUAUUAAUUACAGGUUGACAAGGUAAGUGAUAAUGGACGCCUGGCAUUUGCUUAUGUAUGGUAUGAUCUAACAAUGUUUUUAAAGAAAUUUGUUUGAUGUCAUUCACUUGAAAUUGCAAGUGUAUGAGACGGCCCUUUGAAUUUCUGCCUAUUUAGCAAUUAAUUAAUUACCUGAGAAACUUCCCAGUUUGUUGUUUUCUGUACCUAAAUUUUCUGACCUGGUCUUCAGAACGGUGAUUUCUCUGGCAUACGAUCCAAAGAAUUGGCAGUAAUCAUCAUUGGAUCCUUGUUUUUACAGCCUCUGUUCUUGGACGAUGGGAGCCGCAAGGAGGCGGUGUCACUCUUCAGAAUGCACCAGCGUAGACUAGAGUUUGUUGUAUGAGCCUGGACCUUGGGCCUAGUUUGAUUAAUGUGCAAGCUUUUUAGCUUCCAAAUAAAAAUUUAUUUCUAAAUACAAAAAUUUAAAUUUCUCAUACAUAUCAUAACAAAAUUAUCAAUUAAUAGAAAAAACAAAACGAUAUUAUUUCAGAAAUGAUAAUCAUCCCAUCUAAAACGGAAAUCAAGCGUUCAUGCAUUCCAAAUCUUACAUUCAUUUGUUUCGCUUCCUAGAAUCAAAAUCGUUAGCAUUGUCAUUCCUCAUCACAUUCCAAAUCUUACAUUCAUUUAUUUCGCUUCCUAACAUCAAUAUCGUUGUCAUCAUCGUCGUCAUAAUCAUUCACAUCAUCAUCGUCAUCGUCGUGAUCAAAACUCUCAAACUCGUCAACGUCAUCAAAAUCCUCCUCGCUACCUGGAUAAUCAUCCUCAAUAUCAUCGUCAUCGUACUUUAUAGAGCCACGAUAUCUGGACAGCAGAAGCGUGUUGCAUCCAUUUAGAGGAGCAUGAUAAACAGAGCCAAGAUUAGGCUGACUCCCGAGGAAAUAUUGGGCAGGGAUAGGGCCCGGUAGCUGCAAUCUUGGGUCGCCAACAAUCUUGGUUUCCAUUCGUAUGCUCCUGGAAACACCGGAAACCGAGCCACGGAGAAGAUGGACAGGGAACGACUUGCCGUUUUUUAAUAGCUUCAUCCCUGUUGCCAUUGGGGAGAACGAGACAGAAGAGGCAGAGCCUUUGGCAAAUAACUGCUUUACGUCUGUAGGGGUUUUGGAGGAAGCUAUGAUUUGGGGUUUCAAUUUAAAUCUUGAUGUAGGGUUUUUGGGAAGGCCAGGAGAGGGACACGUGGCGGCCACUACUGUUUAGAUGGUUCUGGACUCCAGAGAGUUUUUGUUUUUUUCUUUUUCUCAAAAGGACUAGACUUGGUCACUUGCGUUUCGGUUAAAUUAAUUUUUAUCACGUCAUUAAUAUGACAAUUUAUUUAAUUAAUCUUGAUUAAAAUAAGGCCUAUGCCUAUUUCACAGAAAAUCUACAAUUUUGCAGUUUUUUAUAAUUAUAGUUAAAAAUUUUAAUUUUAAACUAUAAAUUUCUAACUUUCAAUUUUAUUUAUAAUUGCAGCAUUCUAUUCAUUUAAAUUUUUUUAUUUUUAUUGAAAAAUCACAUAAAUAUUUAUCAUAAUAUAAAUUUAAUUAAAUUAAAUUAAAAUAUUAAAAAAAUUAAAUCAAAC
Molecule: long non-coding RNA, 2645 nt
Filed under: Manihot esculenta (cassava)
Lineage: Eukaryota; Viridiplantae; Streptophyta; Magnoliopsida; Malpighiales; Euphorbiaceae
Description: long non-coding RNA (MESC_LNC008913)
Source: RNAcentral